This 462-nucleotide ribosomal RNA is filed under the name uncultured bacterium. RNAcentral describes it as "partial 16S ribosomal RNA". It matches the Rfam family "Bacterial small subunit ribosomal RNA", at positions 338 to 795 of the family's 1533-position model. The record is from RNAcentral.
CCUACGGGAGGCAGCAGUGAGGAAUAUUGGUCAAUGGACGCAAGUCUGAACCAGCCAAGUAGCGUGCAGGAUGACGGCCCUCCGGGUUGUAAACUGCUUUUAGUUGGGAAUAAAAGGGGGCUCGUGAGCCCCGUAUUGUAUGUACCAUCAGAAAAAGGACCGGCUAAUUCUGUGCGAGCAGCCGCGGUAAUACGGAAGAUCCGGGCGUUAUCCGGAUUUAUUGGGUUUAAGGGGAGCGUAGGCCGGAUUUUAAUGCAGCUGUGAAAUUCCGCGGCUCAACCGUGGAAUUGCAGUUGAAACUGGAGGUCUUGAGUGCACACAGGGAUGCCGGAAUUCGUGGUGUAGCGGUGAAAUGCUUAGAUAUCACGAAGAACUCCGAUUGCGAAGGCAGCUUACUAAACUGCAACUGACAUUGAUGCUCGAAAGUGUGGGUAUCAAACAGGAUUAGAUACCCCUGUAGUC